UACGGGGGGGGCAAGCGUUGUUCGGAAUUACUGGGCGUAAAGGGCUCGUAGGCGGCCAACUAAGUCCGACGUGAAAUCCCCAGGCUUAACCUGGGAACUGCGUCGGAUACUGGAUGGCUUGAAUUCGGGAGAGGGAUGCAGAAUUCCAGGUGUAGCGGUGAAAUGCGUAGAUAUCAAGAGGAACACCUGCGGCGAAGGCGGGUUGCUGGGCCGACACUGACGCUGAGGCGCGAAAGCUAGGGGAGCGAACGGG
Molecule: ribosomal RNA, 253 nt
Filed under: uncultured bacterium
Lineage: Bacteria
Description: partial 16S ribosomal RNA
Rfam family: Bacterial small subunit ribosomal RNA
Source: RNAcentral